GUGCUGUUGUUUGUUUGUCUUUUUCGUUUUUAGCCAUGGCGUUGUUAGUUUGUUUUAGAUUUAUGAAUUUGACUGUUCCUUUGGUAUCUUUCGUCCCUCUUUUGAUUCAUUUGACCAACCUGCCGCUUUUAAAAUUGUAUCAAUUGAAGUAGCACACCGUAGUGCUGCAGAUGUACUUGCUGAUCUAGUACUAUGUGGUUUAUAUAUAGUUAUGUCUACACCAGCCGUUUGCAAAACAAUUUUAACCCAACAUCCAAGCGUGUCUUUAGACACAUGAGAGUAUGGUUUUAUACAGCUCAAGAUUAACUUUUGAGUUUUCCGAAAACAUGAUGUUCUAACUAAAUACUAUUUUAGAACAGUUACAAUACACAGACUGUUAUCCUCAAUAAAAACUGGCAACU
Molecule: long non-coding RNA, 401 nt
Filed under: Mytilus galloprovincialis (Mediterranean mussel)
Lineage: Eukaryota; Metazoa; Mollusca; Bivalvia; Mytilida; Mytilidae
Source: RNAcentral